UGCGGUUGUAGUCUAGCCUGGUUAGGACUUGGGGUUUCCAACCCCAUAACCCGGGUUCAAAUCCCGGCGACCGCAUCC
This 78-nucleotide transfer RNA is filed under the name Candidatus Bilamarchaeum dharawalense. RNAcentral's name for it is "tRNA-Gly(tcc)". It matches the Rfam family "tRNA". From Rfam's summary of the family: Transfer RNA (tRNA) molecules are approximately 80 nucleotides in length. Their secondary structure includes four short double-helical elements and three loops (D, anti-codon, and T loops). Lineage: Archaea; Nanobdellati; Microcaldota; Candidatus Micrarchaeia; Candidatus Anstonellales; Candidatus Bilamarchaeaceae. The record is from RNAcentral.